Molecule: unclassified non-coding RNA, 385 nt
Filed under: soil metagenome
Description: partial contains 5.8S ribosomal RNA, internal transcribed spacer 2, and large subunit ribosomal RNA
Rfam family: 5.8S ribosomal RNA (bases 1-120)
Source: RNAcentral
GAUGAAGAACGCAGCGAAGUGCGAUAAGUAAUGUGAAUUGCAGAAUUCCGUGAAUCAUCGAAUCUUUGAACGCAAAUUGCACUCUCUGGCAACCCGGGGAGUAUGCCUGUUUGAGGGUCAGUGUUAAUAAAAAUCGGGUUCGUUGCAAUUUUUGUGACGUUUCCGGAGUUUGAGUUAUCUUAACUUCGGUUUUUAAGAGGCUUAAAAUUGACCUUUUUUUGUGCAUUUUAGACGUACAUAAAUUUUUUUUUAUUCGCCUAUCCUAAUGCCAAAAUCUAUUAGAUGCGACCAUAUCUUGUGGUUCCGUGUCUAUAAAUUUUUCAUGAUUUGACCUCAAAUCAGGUAGGAACACCCGCUGAACUUAAGCAUAUCAAUAAGCGGAGGA